This is a microRNA precursor of Vicugna pacos (alpaca), 93 nucleotides long. NCBI's taxonomy places the organism in Eukaryota, Metazoa, Chordata, Mammalia, Artiodactyla, Camelidae. The record is from Ensembl.
GUGUAUAUAUCUGUGUGUAUGUAUGUAUAUGUGUGUGUAUACAAACACACACACACACACACACACACACACACACACACACACACACACACA